RNAcentral lists this ribosomal RNA (460 nucleotides) under uncultured bacterium. Its description in RNAcentral is "partial 16S ribosomal RNA". It matches the Rfam family "Bacterial small subunit ribosomal RNA", at positions 338 to 795 of the family's 1533-position model. The record is from RNAcentral.
CCUACGGGUGGCAGCAGUGAGGAAUAUUGGUCAAUGGACGAGAGUCUGAACCAGCCAAGUAGCGUGAAGGAUGACUGCCCUAUGGGUUGUAAACUUCUUUUAUAUGGGAAUAAAAUGUUCCACGUGUGGGAUUUUGUAUGUACCAUUUGAAUAAGGAUCGGCUAACUCCGUGCCAGCAGCCACGGUAAUACGGAGGAUCCGAGCGUUAUCCGGAUUUAUUGGGUUUAAAGGGAGCGUAGGUGGAUUGUUAAGUCAGUUGUGAAAGUUUGCGGCUCAACCGUAAAAUUGCAGUUGAAACUGGCAGUCUUGAGUACAGUAGAGGUGGGCGGAAUUCGUGGUGUAGCGGUGAAAUGCUUAGAUAUCACGAAGAACUCCGAUUGCGAAGGCAGUUCACUGGACUGCAACUGACACUGAGGCUCGAAAGUGUGGGUAUCAAACAGGAUUAGAUACCCGAGUAGUC